GAAAGUUGCGUCAAAGGUCCACGUAAACACAAACACGGCCACGUCUGUCAAGCUGUGUGGCUGUUUGUCACAUUAUUAGUACAAAUCCACUGAUAAUUUUCUCCCAGCAGCAUUCCUUUCCUUAUCACUUGCAUUCCUGUCCUCCAUUCCUCCCCCAGUCCACCUGUGCUCACGUAUAGGCCUCUUUAAAAAGGAGAUAAGAUGCGUCAGCUGAAGGGAAAGGUGAAAGAGACUGCAAAGGAGAGGAAAGAAAGGAAGAAAGACUUCUUGGCCAACAAGGAGAAGGCAUUCACUGUUGCUCUGCCAGUACUGGGUGGGAUCUUUAUUCUCAUCGCCCUCCUGGUGUACUUCAAGACUAGGCCCAAGGACUUGGAUUUGUAAGGACACUCUUGCUGCGCCAUCCUGCCACAUCUGAUAUGGAAGAACAGCAUUUAUGUGUUACAAUCUUAUGAUAUCAAAGUUAAUAAUAUUCUGCUUUGAUUUUCAUUUGACACAAUGAAAUGUUAUCUUUUUUUUUUUGUUAGUAUUGCAGAAAUCCACUACAUAUAAUCUGUAAUGAAAGUGUCAAUCUGUGUCACAUUUAUAGAAAUUGUUUACUAUGAUUCAACUUUGAUAUGGAAUAGAUUGAUAUAGAAAUGCCUUCAAUACCUAUUGGGUGCCUUUGCUCAAAUUCCUGACAAAAUGCCGUGAAAGAAAGGUAUCUUUUCUUAAAUUCUAUUAUGGUUUCAGGAAAUGUAUUAAGGCAAGAGUCUCAUCUAGUAUUAUUAGUAUCCCGAAUUCUUGGUUAAUUAAAGGGUGCAUAUUGUAAAGCAUGUGAGGAAGAAAGUGUUAAGAAAGAGUAUACUAUACGAGUAUGGUGCUGGAGUUGCUAGCUGAGUACUGUGCCUUAGUUGAUCAUGAUUAUAUUGAUUAUAGAAACUAUUUUCUAUUGGAUGUGAAUGAAAUGACUGUUCUGCAGCCUUUCUGUUAUCAUUCUUUUCAUCUGUCAGAUACUUGGCACAAAUUUACUGGAAGGAAAUAAGAACAUGACUAUCAUCGCUUUCCAUUGAUGUAAAAAAAAUAUCAAUGGAAACAAACUACUUACUAUUUCCCUGUUUGUAUAGAAAAAAAUAUUAUACUUUAUAUAUUACAAAUAGAGCAUGUUUUACUUAUCUUACAUAAAGCAAGUAAUCAUUGUAGGACAGAGAACACCUCUACUGGCAGAACUAGAACACAGAUGUUUGAGUCUUUGAAGUAACAGAAAAGCUGCUAAAUUGUCGUGCUUCAUUUAGGAGAAAUAUGUUGUUGUAAUUUAGGUUCCCAUAAAUGAAGGGGAUUCCUGAUUGUUUUUAUAUUUUGGAGGUUUAUUUGCUUGUAAACAUAAUUACGAACACACUAAUCCUGAAGAUGUACGUGGAUUUAUCGGAGAAACCCAUUGACAAAAACUGCAUGAACUAACUUGGUCCUGUUCAACAAAUUUACCUACCUACUGUUACUGUUACAAAGUCAAGUAUUCUAAAUCAUAUUAAUACAUACUUACAUACCAGGACGGCAAUUCCAUAUGGGAUGGCCACCUGUAUAAUAAGACAGAAGGUUACCAGAGUCAUAUUAAUGCAUAUCCAGAUUCUAUUUCAAGUUCACAGCCGUGGCUUAGAAUACUUGCUCCUUACUUUGUGGAGAUUCUGCAGUGACAGAGGUGUUCUAAUACAGGGCUAAGAUACAUGUGACAGUGUGCUUCUUUAGGUGCUUCUCUCAACACUGUAAUGGUUAUGCUUAAGUUGUUACCAGUAUUGUUAUUAUUGUUAGCCUGGAGGCAUUGUGGGUGUGAGGUGUUAGCAUUAGCACUACAGGAAAACCAGAUUAUCUGUGCCCCUACAACAUGUGUGAGUGUGUGUGUAGCAGGACAGUGUUAUCAGAUAGGGUGGAGGUCUGACUGAGUGAUGUCCUCUACUGCCAACCAGUGAUACUGAGUCCGUCAUUCCGUCACGCUUGGAGAAGUAGACCUUAGUGGCAAAGUUGAUUUGGUUUUCAUCAGUUGGGUGAUGGUGUAAGCUAAGCAAGGUUUGUGUGUCACCACAUCAACAGUUGCUGUUCUCAUUACUUGGGUUGUGAAAAGUUGCAAGAAUUUCAGCUUUCACCAACUGUCUAUGCAUUGAUACCCAUUUGCUGAUUUUUGGUCAGUUUGUUUGAUUUAAACCCAUUUGCUUGUUUUUGGUCAGUCUGUUUGAUUUAAAUGCUUGAAGUUUGUGUCUUUUCAAUGAUUUCACAGAUUGCAACAUUGUUGUUCUGCUGAUUUUGUCUCAGUAGGUACUGUUAAUAUUCAGGUAGUUAGCUCAGAUGAAAUUUGAAGGGGAAAUUCAAUAUUUGGAAAUAUACACAAAGGCUAGUAAUGCAUGGAAAAUAUUUUUGUAUUUUUUAGACAGUCAGUAACAAAGCUGUAUAUUCAGGGAACCUCAAUAAUCUUGUCAUUUUUUAUAAAUAUAUUUUCUCAAAGUA
This is a long non-coding RNA of Scylla paramamosain (green mud crab), 2475 nucleotides long. RefSeq lists it as uncharacterized. The record is from RefSeq and is a predicted model, not a curated record. Lineage: Eukaryota; Metazoa; Arthropoda; Malacostraca; Decapoda; Portunidae. The transcript is spliced from 2 exons.